AUUGAACGCUGGCGGCAGGCUUAACACAUGCAAGUCGAGCGGGGGAAGGUAGCUUGCUACCGGACCUAGCGGCGGACGGGUGAGUAAUGCUUAGGAAUCUGCCUAUUAGUGGGGGACAACAUCUCGAAAGGGAUGCUAAUACCGCAUACGUCCUACGGGAGAAAGCAGGGGAUCUUCGGACCUUGCGCUAAUAGAUGAGCCUAAGUCGGAUUAGCUAGUUGGUGGGGUAAAGGCCUACCAAGGCGACGAUCUGUAGCGGGUCUGAGAGGAUGAUCCGCCACACUGGGACUGAGAAACGGCCAGACUCCUACGGGAGGCAGCAGUGGGGAAUAUUGGACAAUGGGGGGAACCCUGAUCCAGCCAUGCCGCGUGUGUGAAGAAGGCCUUAUGGUUGUAAAGCACUUUAAGCGAGGAGGAGGCUACUUUAGUUAAUACCUAGAGAUAGUGGACGUUACUCGCAGAAUAAGCACCGGCUAACUCUGUGCCAGCAGCCGCCGUAA
Molecule: ribosomal RNA, 500 nt
Filed under: uncultured bacterium
Lineage: Bacteria
Description: partial 16S ribosomal RNA
Rfam family: Bacterial small subunit ribosomal RNA
Source: RNAcentral